Long non-coding RNA from Schistocerca cancellata (South American locust), 515 nucleotides. RefSeq lists it as uncharacterized. Lineage: Eukaryota; Metazoa; Arthropoda; Insecta; Orthoptera; Acrididae. The record is from RefSeq and is a predicted model, not a curated record. The transcript has 3 exons.
ACUUCCGCGAUUUCUGCUACUUCUGCGAUUUCUGUGACUUCUGCUACUUCUGCGAUUUCUGCUACUUCUGCGAUUUCUGUGACUUCUGCUACUUCUGCGAUUUCUGUGAUUCCUGCGAUUUCUGCGACUUACCACCGUAUGAGAAAGUUACAUCUGUCAACACAGAAAAUUGCAUCUCAACAAACCUGUCUUUGGCAAGUACCUGAACUACAUUUCAGUCACUCAGUAAAGUGAUAACUCAAAAUAUCAUUGUCAACAGAUCUGAAGAAAUUGCCACUGCGUCUUUAGACCGUUUUCGUCAGACGAGAGACACAGUUCUGACUCUGAUUACUGGUUGCUGUACGUAUCUAUCCACAUCAAGGCUGUUUUUGAGAGAGACUAGUGAAGAUUCAAGACAGUUCUUAGAGGAUUUGCAGUUUAAAAGUGAAAUAAUUGUGAAAUAAGUGUGUGAAUGAUUAAACUGUGUUUUAUUGAAGUUGUUGUGCGAUUUUAAAGGAAUAAUAAAUGUCAAAUAC